Molecule: ribosomal RNA, 253 nt
Filed under: uncultured archaeon
Lineage: Archaea
Description: partial 16S ribosomal RNA
Rfam family: Archaeal small subunit ribosomal RNA
Source: RNAcentral
AACCAGCACCUCAAGUGGUCAGGAUGAUUAUUGGGCCUAAAGCAUCCGUAGCCGGCUCUGUAAGUUUUCGGUUAAAUCUGUACGCUCAACGUACAGGCUGCCGGGAAUACUGCAGAACUAGGGAGUGGGAGAGGUAGACGGUACUCGGUAGGAAGUGGUAAAAUGCUUUGAUCUAUUGAUGACCACCUGUGGCGAAGGCGGUCUACCAGAACACGUCCGACGGUGAGGGAUGAAAGCUGGGGGAGCAAACCGG